CUCUAACCGGGUUCAAAGGCAGUCUAUGGAUGACUUCCACUUUCUCAAGAAGUCUGCGGCUUUCCCCAAUUCCGAUCCUCAAUGCACCAGCGGUGGUGCUGUUGCUACUAAUUCAUCUUCUUCUUCUGUUAGUUUCUCAAGGCCACUCUGCCAGCCAACCAGAUUUGACAGCAAAACAACAAGGCAGAGAGUAUGACAAUCGUAACUAUGAUUAGCCCGCCCAUGUUUAUUAUUCUAUGUUUAACUGCUUAUUGUUCACAUUGACUUUGAAUUGGUUGACGAAAUUGUGAUGUGAUUGUUACUGUUAUAUCCAAUUCCCGUUUUCAAUCUCAUGUAUAUUCUUCAAAAAAAAAAUCCUUGCCUCAUAUUAACACAAAGAAACAUGAUAAGCUACCGCUAAUUAUUAUUUCACUUGGUAGGUAUUAUCACCAAACAAACUUGUAACAAAAACUGUCUUCGAACAAUGAAUUAUUAAAGAAAAGCAAUAAGAUUUACAUCCC
RNAcentral lists this long non-coding RNA (500 nucleotides) under Linum usitatissimum (flax). RNAcentral describes it as "long non-coding RNA (LUSI_LNC002227)". The record is from RNAcentral. Lineage: Eukaryota; Viridiplantae; Streptophyta; Magnoliopsida; Malpighiales; Linaceae.